CUGCGGAAGGAUCAUUACUGAGUGAGGGUCCCUCGGGGCCCAACCUCCCACCCGUGUAUACCGUACCUUGUUGCUUCGGCGAGCCCGCCCCCUUUUUCUUAGGGGGGCACAGCGCUCGCCGGAGACACCAACGUGAACACUGUCUGAAGUUUUGUCGUCUGAGUCGAUUGUAUCGCAAUCAGUUAAAACUUUCAACAAUGGAUCUCUUGGUUCCGGCAUCGAUGAAGAACGCAGCGAAAUGCGAUAAUUAAUGUGAAUUGCAGAAUUCAGUGAAUCAUCGAGUCUUUGAACGCACAUUGCACCCCCUGGUAUUCCGGGGGGUAUGCCUGUCCGAGCGUCAUUGCUGCCCUCAAGCACGGCUUGUGUGUUGGGUCGUCGUCCCCCCGGGGGACGGGCCCGAAAGGCAGCGGCGGCACCGCGUCCGGUCCUCGAGCGUAUGGGGCUUUGUCACACCGCUCUUGUAGGCCCGGCCGGCUGCUGGCCGACGCUGAAAAGCAACCAACUAUUUCUCCAGGUUGACCUCGGAUCAGGUAGGGAUACCCGCUGAACUUAAGCAUAUCAAUA
RNAcentral lists this ribosomal RNA (564 nucleotides) under Aspergillus melleus. RNAcentral's name for it is "partial 18S ribosomal RNA". The stretch from base 187 to 340 matches the Rfam family "5.8S ribosomal RNA". The record is from RNAcentral. Lineage: Eukaryota; Fungi; Ascomycota; Eurotiomycetes; Eurotiales; Aspergillaceae.